CCUACGGGAGGCAGCAGUGAGGAAUAUUGGUCAAUGGGCGUAAGCCUGAACCAGCCAAGUCGCGUGAGGGAUGAAGGUUCUAUGGAUCGUAAACCUCUUUUAUAAGGGAAUAAAGUGUGGGACGUGUCCUGUUUUGUAGGUACCUUAUGAAUAAGGAUCGGCUAACUCCGUGCCAGCAGCCGCGGUAAUACGGAGGAUCCGAGCGUUAUCCGGAUUUAUUGGGUUUAAAGGGUGCGUAGGCGGCCUGUUAAGUCAGCGGUGAAAGUCUGUGGCUCAACCAUAGAAUUGCCGUUGAAACUGGGAGGCUUGAGUAUGUUUGAGGCAGGCGGAAUGCGUGGUGUAGCGGUGAAAUGCUUAGAUAUCACACAGAACCCCGAUUGCGAAGGCAGCCUGCCAAGCCAUGACUGACGCUGAUGCACGAAAGCGUGGGGAUCAAACAGGAUUAGAUACCCCUGUAGUC
Molecule: ribosomal RNA, 460 nt
Filed under: uncultured bacterium
Lineage: Bacteria
Description: partial 16S ribosomal RNA
Rfam family: Bacterial small subunit ribosomal RNA
Source: RNAcentral